Cryptomeria japonica (Japanese cedar) is the source of this 430-nucleotide long non-coding RNA. RefSeq lists it as uncharacterized. The record is from RefSeq and is a predicted model, not a curated record. Lineage: Eukaryota; Viridiplantae; Streptophyta; Pinopsida; Cupressales; Cupressaceae. The transcript has 3 exons.
UCCGUUGAUCAAAUAAUAAAAUUCAAAGUGAUACAUCGUCUUUAGUCUAAUAUGAUAAAAUCCAAGGAGAUAUAUGGUCUUUAGUCUAAUAUGAUAAAAUCAAAUACCUCUAUUACUUGGGCAAGUCAUGUGACUGUUGGCUAACAUUCUUAAAAUAACUUUGGGCUUACAGGAUUGCAAUGGCGAUAUAAAAUGGGAUCUGAGAAGAGAAAAAACAAUCAUAGCUAACUUCUUACUUAUUUUGGGACUUGCAGUCAUUCCCGAGGCUCAGAGAUCAGCUUGACGCAGAUCGGGUGGGCGUGUUGAGAAUGGUGAAAACAAUGGUUGCAGAGUCUGAGAGAAGGGUAUUUAGUGGAGGGGAAUUUGCAGAGGAUUUCUGAGAGGGGUUAACAGAAGCAUUGGCCUCAGAGAGUGGAUUUUCAAGGAUGGC